UGCCUCUUCAUGCUGCUCAUGGCCCCGCUGCUGCCUCUCCCCAGUGCUCGAGGACAGACUGUCACUUCAGCAGAAGGAGGCGAAGGAGAAUCGGUGCCGACUCCAGGAGGCGGUGGCUAAACUGGAGGCCAGGCUGGAUGAGCAGACUAGGCUGCUGGAGCAGGUGAGCCCACCCUGUGUCCUCUGCCUGGCUCAGCCCACCUGUCUGGGGAUGGGCCAUGGGUCUCGCUCACUGGAGGUCCUUGGCCUGGAGCCUGCGAGUGGCAUCUGUGUCUCCUCUGUGUCUGAACCCAGGAGCGACAGAGGGUGUUUGCGGAGCGCUCCAGAGCAGAAUUGCUGGAGGAGGAGCAACAAGUCUUGAACCAGCAGCUCUCCGCAGAACAAGCAGAGCUGGAGAGGAUGAAGGAGCGGGCAGAACUACAGAUCCAGGUCCGCAUGCUGAGAGCCAGGGAGGAGCAGCUGGAGAGGAACAAGGAGCUGCUGGACAAGACCUGGCAGGAGCUGAAGGCGGAGAGGAAGAAUGUAAAUGGGGCUGCACUGCGUGUGCAGCAGCAGGAGGAGGAGAUGAGAAGCAUGACCGAGGAUCGGCUGAGCAUGGCUCAGCAGAGGAGCCAACUUCAACAGCUGCGCCAGGAGCUGUCCAACAGCCCCAUGAUGGUGCAGACCCCAGGCCGGAACUCCAGUGCCCCUCUGACAGGCUCCUCCAGUGUGCCGGGUAAGGCUCUGUGCUUGCUGCUGGUGGGGAGGGACAUGCUGGGGGGCAGCUGCACUUGUAUUCCCCUUCUUGGGAGGCUUGGGCUGUUCCUGGGGGCUGUUUUAGUUCCCCUGCGUAUCAACCUCAGACGGGAGGAGUUGGCCUCCUCGUCUUGUGAAGGAGCUCAGCGAAGCUCUGAGCCAGGGCAGUGACAGGAGAGGGCAGAAGGGCCAGGAAGGGAGAGGCCGGUGGGUUAAAGCCCCUUUGCCCUGGGAGCGUGGGGAGGACCCUGCUGCAGGGACCUGCAGGCAGCACCCAAAGGGAUGCUGUGUCGUCUACAUCUACGGUUCCUCUGAUGGCAGCAGCAUCACACAAUUGGGCUUCUCUUCAGGCUUUCCACCUGCCAUCGGGAGCCCGGGAGGUAUCCAGCAACUCCUGGCCAGGGCCAGCUCCACCGAGUUUAGUGCCUGCCACCGUGGUGAUAAUGAAGUUCCGAUCCCUUCAGGUGAGGUGGUGGGAGACCGGGGCGGGAAGGGGCUU
Molecule: long non-coding RNA, 1234 nt
Organism: Athene cunicularia (burrowing owl)
Lineage: Eukaryota; Metazoa; Chordata; Aves; Strigiformes; Strigidae
Source: Ensembl